Molecule: ribosomal RNA, 492 nt
Filed under: uncultured bacterium
Lineage: Bacteria
Description: partial 16S ribosomal RNA
Rfam family: Bacterial small subunit ribosomal RNA
Source: RNAcentral
AGUGAACGCUGGCGGUAGGCCUAACACAUGCAAGUCGAACGGCAGCACAGUAAGAGCUUGCUCUUACGGGUGGCGAGUGGCGGACGGGUGAGGAAUACAUCGGAAUCUACUUUUUCGUGGGGGAUAACGUAGGGAAACUUACGCUAAUACCGCAUACGACCUACGGGUGAAAGCAGGGGAUCUUCGGACCUUGCGCGAUUGAAUGAGCCGAUGUCGGAUUAGCUAGUUGGCGGGGUAAAGGCCCACCAAGGCGACGAUCCGUAGCUGGUCUGAGAGGAUGAUAAGCCACACUGGAACUGAGACACGGUCCAGACUCCUACGGGAGGCAGCAGUGGGGAAUAUUGGACAAUGGGCGCAAGCCUGAUACAGCCAUACCGCGUGGGUGAAGAAGGCCUUCGGGUUGUAAAGCCCUUUUGUUGGGAAAGAAAAGCAGCAGGUUAAUACCCCGCUGUUCUGACGGUACCCAAAGAAUAAGCACCGGCUAACUUCGUG